AGGAGGAACAGCCCCAGUGGCGGGGCAGCUCUGGAAACCUGGAUUCAUCUCCGGCAGGAACUCCGUCUGCAGGGCCUGGAGGCUCCGGGCGGGG
Canis lupus familiaris (dog) is the source of this 94-nucleotide non-coding RNA. NCBI's taxonomy places the organism in Eukaryota, Metazoa, Chordata, Mammalia, Carnivora, Canidae. The record is from Rfam.